GACGAACGCUGGCGGCGUGCUUAACACAUGCAAGUCGAGCGGUAAGGCCUUUCGGGGUACACGAGCGGCGAACGGGUGAGUAACACGUGAGCAAUCUGCCCUGCACUUUGGGAUAACCACCGGAAACGGUGGCUAAUACCGGAUACGACCACGUCUCGCAUGGGGUGUGGUGGAAAGUUCUGGCGGUGCAGGAUGAGCUCGCGGCCUAUCAGCUUGUUGGUGAGGUAAUGGCUCACCAAGGCUUCGACGGGUAGCCGGCCUGAGAGGGUGACCGGCCACACUGGGACUGAGACACGGCCCAG
Molecule: ribosomal RNA, 302 nt
Filed under: uncultured bacterium
Lineage: Bacteria
Description: bacterial SSU rRNA
Rfam family: Bacterial small subunit ribosomal RNA
Source: RNAcentral